This is a long non-coding RNA of Rana temporaria (common frog), 453 nucleotides long. RefSeq lists it as uncharacterized. Lineage: Eukaryota; Metazoa; Chordata; Amphibia; Anura; Ranidae. The record is from RefSeq and is a predicted model, not a curated record. The transcript has 3 exons.
AUUAUUUUUUAAAAAAUAAAUUGAAUUCAUUUAUAUACUUAUAUGCAUACAUAUUUUGUAUUUUACUUACUUAUAGAAUAUAUUAUGAAUUCAGUAUGAACUACACUGGACUCUAUUGACAGCUUUAACCCUAUAUCUAAACUUCACUACUACUGAGGAGAGAAUUAGAUACAACGUACAAAUACCUGUAUCUCUUCCUCCUCAAUUGUGGUGACCCCCUCUAUACAUCUCAUUGUCCGCACCUGUUAAAAUCAAGUGGAUCUGGCUUCCACUGAUUGAAAGUGCAGCAGUCAAUGCCUUCCGCCCGCAUCGGGUUCGCCUCCGCUACUUUCUUGGCAGCUUGUUCUGCCAUGGUUUUUGAGCUUUUUAAACACAUAUUGACCAUUACAUGUAAAUAAGGAACAGAAGUAUCAUGCAAGCCCUGAUGAAGCACACCUAAGUGCGAAACUAGUU